This 422-nucleotide ribosomal RNA is filed under the name uncultured archaeon. RNAcentral describes it as "partial 16S ribosomal RNA". It matches the Rfam family "Archaeal small subunit ribosomal RNA", at positions 323 to 746 of the family's 1478-position model. The record is from RNAcentral.
CUACGGGCUGCACCAGGCGAGAAAACUUUGCAAUGUGCGAAAGCACGACAAGGUUAAUCCGAGUGGUUUCUGCUAAAGGAACCUUUUGACAGUCCUAGAAACACUGUUGAAUAAGGGGUGGGCAAGUUCUGGUGUCAGCCGCCGCGGUAAAACCAGCACCUCAAGUGGUCAGGAUGAUUAUUGGGCCUAAAGCAUCCGUAGCCGGCUCUGUAAGUUUUCGGUUAAAUCUGUACGCUCAACGUACAGGCUGCCGGGAAUACUGCAGAGCUAGGGAGUGGGAGAGGUAGACGGUACUCGGUAGGAAGGGGUAAAAUCCUUUGAUCUAUUGAUGACCACCUGUGGCGAAGGCGGUCUACCAGAACACGUCCGACGGUGAGGGAUGAAAGCUGGGGGAGCAAACCGGAUUAGAUACCCGCGUAGUC